Molecule: non-coding RNA, 89 nt
Organism: Danio rerio (zebrafish)
Lineage: Eukaryota; Metazoa; Chordata; Actinopteri; Cypriniformes; Danionidae
Gene: mir27d
Product: microRNA 27d
Source: RefSeq, marked provisional
UUCUGAGCGGGUGCAGAGCUUGGCUGAUUGGUGAACGUGCAUGGCUUGUGUUUUUGUUCACAGUGGCUAAGUUCUUCACCCGAAAAGAA